Molecule: long non-coding RNA, 2152 nt
Organism: Oncorhynchus kisutch (coho salmon)
Lineage: Eukaryota; Metazoa; Chordata; Actinopteri; Salmoniformes; Salmonidae
Exons: 5
Source: RefSeq, a predicted model, not a curated record
UGUUUAUAAUGUAACACACGGACCACUUUUUUUUUCAAGAAUAUGAAAAUAAUGAUUCAUCUAUAUUUUAACAGAUUUGUGUAAUUACGUGAUUUUCCUACAAAUAUGUAAUAAUAGUUCGUUACUAUUUGAAAAAUAUCACCCUCGAACUAAUAUUAGGGAAAAACGCUUCCAAGCAUUGAUUUGGCAAAUAUCCUUCACCCCCAUUGACUCGAGGUAAAUAAAGCACCCAUGAUUAAACAACAGGGCGGUUGACAGUAAUCUGGGUUAGCAAGAAAUGUAGACAUUCAUCUCUACAUCUUUGCAAACCACUUAGUGCUGAAUUCUCGAAAAAAAGUAAAUUAGCUAUCUAUUCUACUGCUGAAAAAACAACGGAUUUCCGGUUUCUAGUUGUUCGUUGAUCUCAACGACAGAAUGAGCAACAUCUACAUUCAAGAGCCUCCAUCAAAUGGAAACAGUGGUGCCAGAGUUCAUUGUCCAAGGAGGCGAUCCCACAGGCACCUGGACGGUGGAGAGUCCCAUCUAUGGACGGCAGUUCAAGGAUGAAUUACACUCCAGACUGCACUUCAACAGAUGAGGCCUGGUUGCCAUGGCCAACGCAAUGCCCCAUGACAAUGGCAGCCAGUUCUUCUUCACCCUUGCCCGGGCAGAUGAGCUCAACAACAAACACACCAUCUUUGGAAAGGAACUUUAGUCUGUUGUCAUUCGGAGAGGAAGCUGAGGAGGAAGAGGAGAUGGUAACUUAAGUCAGCCAGACACCGAAGGGGUAAAGCAAAAGCAGUCAUGACCUGCUGAAGGAUGAUCCACUGCUUAGCUCUGUCCCCACAGUCAACAAGUCAGUACACGAAGAUGUAGUACAGACACCAUGUUCUGCUGCCUCAACUUAUCUUAUUUUGACAAUGAAUUAUAUUCAUGAGUUAAUAUAUUAUUUAUUUGAAUCUAUUUGUCUUGUUAUUGAAGGAGAAAAGCCAAGGUGCAGCUGGUGCAGCAUUCCUUCAUGUUAUCUGCUCAAUCAAGACCACAUGCAUCACAUUAUAAUGCAUUCCAUUCAACUUGUUGGAAAACACAUUUUCUCUGAGUGUUCUCCAUUCUUUCUCUCAUCUCUCUCUCACAUUCUCUUGUGUUCGGGAGAGGAUGAUGAGGCUGCGGAGGGAGAUGCGGAUGGUGAUGAAAAGGAGUAUGACUGAUGAGAGGGAGGAAAUGAGGGAGAGGAUCUCUAAGAAGAUGGAGGAGAAGAAGAGUACAGACCCCAGUGAGGAGGACAGAGGGAAGAGGACCAACCGCAGGUUGAUUACACAAAAAUGAUAUACCAUCCACAGCAUAGCCUAAAUGCCUUUUACACACCUCUUUUUAAUUUGGGGAAUGUUUUCUCACAUGUACCUUACUAGCUAGGUUUCCAUCCAAUUGUCGACAGAUUUUUAUGCAUAAAAACAAUAUUUUCCCACCAGAGAUGUGUUUCUGUAAAAUGGACUUGUUGCAGAUUAAAGGCUGUACGUGAUGAUAUAGUGCACAUAAAAAUACCUAGAUUUUUAAAAAUUAUAUUGCAUUUUCAACUCUACUGAUGGGUUUUCUCAAAAUAUGCUCUGUUAUAUAGUGAGUAUGCCCACUCUGGUAUUGGCAUGUAAACUCUAGCCAAAAGCUCCCAAAUACUCUACCUGUAUAGCCUGCAUGGGAUUAUUAUGGACAAAGGAGCAAUAUUAUUUUAAUUUGUCAAACGACAGCCAAGCAUCGACGGUCAUGUCACCAGAAUAAGACCCUCAAUAUUUAUUGGAAAGGUGCAUCAAGCUCAUCACCUUGCACUUUCACCACCCUGUGACGUUCAUUACUGACUUCAUCUGUAGCCUAAUAAACUGCAGGCUUUCCUGAGUCGUGGUGGGAGGACCACACAUGUCAUUGUGUGACUCCAAGUUUACUUCGAUUUUAUGGUUAUUAUAUCAAUAUUUGCGCAUAAAAGCGUUUCAACUGACAUUUCUUGCAUAUUAAUUUUACAGACGCAAAAAGAUCCCACCUUGUCUAGCGUGUUUUGUCGACAUUUGGAAAGUUUAGCGAAACAUUUUCUGUUUCUAUUAGGCCUGUCGUAAAAAAUAUAUAUAUAUUCGACAUGUACUUUUAUUUGUAAAAAAAUCUAAUAAAAUGCCCCUUCACCACCACC